GACAGAGGGUGCAAACGUUGUUCGGAAUUACUGGGCGUAAAGCGUGUGUAGGCUGCCGCGUAAGUCGGAUGUGAAAGCCCUGGGCUCAACCCAGGAAGUGCACUCGAUACUGCGUGGCUCGAGUACUGGAGAGGUUGGUGGAAUUCUCGGUGUAGAGGUGAAAUUCGUAGAUAUCGAGAGGAACACCGGUGGCGAAGGCGGCCAACUGGACAGAUACUGACGCUGAGACACGAAAGCGUGGGGAGCAAACAGG
Molecule: ribosomal RNA, 253 nt
Filed under: uncultured bacterium
Lineage: Bacteria
Description: partial 16S ribosomal RNA
Rfam family: Bacterial small subunit ribosomal RNA
Source: RNAcentral